RNAcentral lists this ribosomal RNA (1039 nucleotides) under uncultured organism. RNAcentral's name for it is "bacterial SSU rRNA". It matches the Rfam family "Bacterial small subunit ribosomal RNA", at positions 394 to 1411 of the family's 1533-position model. The record is from RNAcentral.
ACGCCGCGUGCAGGACGAANGUCCUUCGGGAUGUAAACUGUGUCAGGGACUACCAAGCAAUCAGGGCAAAUAGUCCUGUGCGCUGAGGAAUCCCAGAAAGGAAGCCACGGCUAAACUUCGUGCCAAGCAGCCAGCGGUAAGAAACGAAAGGUGGCGAGCGUUGUUCGAAUCACUGGGCUUAAAGAGCACGUAGGCGGGCGGUCAAGCGUCUUGUGAAAUCCCUCGGCUUACCGGGGAACUGCUUGGCGAACUGAUCGUCUUGAGGCAGGUAGGGGCAAGCGGAACUCUUGGUGGAGCGGUGGAAUGCGUAGAUAUCAAGAGGAACGCCAGAGGCGAAGGCGGCUUGCUGGGCCUGUCCUGACGCUGAGGUGCGAAAGCCAGGGUAGCGAACGGGAUUAGAUACCCCGGUAGUCCUGGCCCUAAACGAUGUCCACUAGGUCGAAGACACUCUGACGUGUUUUCGGCCGAAAUGAAAACGGUAAGUGGACCGCCUGGGGAGUACGGUCGCAAGGCUAAAACUCAAAGGAAUUGACGGGGGCUCACACAAGCGGUGGAGCAUGUUGCUUAAUUCGAUGCAACGCGAAGAACCUUAUCCUGGGCUUGACAUGCAGGGAUACCUUCCUGGAAACAGGUCGGGUUGCCCUUCGGGGUGAAACCUGUGCAGGUGCUGCAUGGCUGUCGUCAGCUCGUGUCGUGAGAUGUUGGGUUAAGUCCCGUAACGAGCGAAACCCUUGUCGUUAGUUGCCAGCGGGUAAUGCCGGGGACUCUAGCGAGACUGCCGGUGUCAAACCGGAGGAAGGUGGGGAUGACGUCAAGUCCUCAUGGCCUUUAUGCCCAGGGCUGCAAACGUGCUACAAUGGCUGGGACAAAACGACGCGAAGCCGCAAGGUGGAGCAAAUCGUAAAAAACCAGCCUCAGUUCGGAUUGGAGUCUGCAGCUCGACUCCAUGAAGUUGGAAUCGCUAGUAAUCGCGUAUCAGCAUGACGCGGUGAAUGUGUUCCUGAGCACUUGUACACACCGCCCGUCAAGUCAUGGAAGC